This is a long non-coding RNA of Anguilla rostrata (American eel), 4787 nucleotides long. RefSeq lists it as uncharacterized. Lineage: Eukaryota; Metazoa; Chordata; Actinopteri; Anguilliformes; Anguillidae. The transcript is spliced from 6 exons. The record is from RefSeq and is a predicted model, not a curated record.
AUACAAAUAAGCUGCUUCUGAAGAAUAAACUCACUGUACAUUGCAUUAAACUGAACCUUUUUCUAAAAAAUCUGUCGAUACACGGAAUACUGAAUUGAUUUAAAUAAAUAAAUGGCAGCGUUUUACACAAAUUUUUCAUUAUUAAAAGUUUUCUUAUUCUUAUUUUCGUUAUUGCACAAAUGGCAAUACAAGUGAAGCCAUACAAAUAGCCUGAAGAUAACGCCAGCACAGCAUAUACAAUAUUACACGUAUCUUAAACUAUAUAACACCUUUAGAAUAUCUUUAAAAUAUGAAUCGGGAUAACCUAUCCCGGCCCCUGACGUCAGGACGCAAUCAUUCACGUAGUAAAAUGUGGAGGGCUCGGGCGAACACAAUUUCAACAUCUCCUGAGGCAACGGCGAAUCGUAAGGCAGCCCUUCCUUCGUGCUUCGAGACGGAAUACGAGCGUGUUCGCAGCAAUAGACGAGGAAGCAAGAUUUAAUAAGAAAAUGAUCUCAAUCAGUGCACGAAAACGCGGUGAAAAUGACCGGAGACGUAUCUACUUAACCUCACGCAAGGCAACGUGACCCAGAACCUACAGUUUUCCAGUAUCCGUCUUGAAUUUUUGCCUCCCGAGCACAGAAGCGUCAGAACUGUUUUCCAAGCACCUUCACCUGCCUCUUGGAUUCGCCUUUAUUUUAUUUAACAGAUGGAAGAAAAUCCCAUUUCCCAUUUCUUUCUCUUUCAUUCUCAUUUUCUAUUCCCUCUCGCACACAGGCAUGGUCCGCGUUAUUUUGAAAAGAUAACCGGCUCGAUUGGUAUCAUUUCAUUUUUGUUGUCGCUGUGUCUCAAAGCUUCAGAGUGUGCAGUUGACCCAAGUAAUACUUUAGGUAACGAGGCUCAGAUUUGGGGGAAGAUGCUUGUUCCGGCCCGCUUUCAUCUUCUCGUCUGUGCUACAUUUUAGGUUAGAAUAAUUCCAUCACAAGCCCUUGGAAGGGUGCCAUCAUGCCUGUUAAAUACCCACCAUAUCCUACUUUGUAAGAAGAAAAAGUAAACGCGAAGCGCUGGGAGACGAAUGGACGCGUCCAUGGUAUAUACUGACUAAAUCUGGUGUUUAUAUAUAGAAUGUUUAAUGAAAAAUUAGAUUAAAGUUGGAUCUUUCCGAGAAAUGCAUCGCUAUAGCAAUAGCCGUAGCAAUCCUUGCUGUGAUGUAGCGUAUUGAGCUGUGACACUUGGGCAUGGGCACAUGCUUUGUUGUUUUCGUGUUGAGAUUUUUUUUUUCAGUAAUGGGGGCUGGUCCCAAGUCAUUUCAUGUUCGUUUUUAGUCUUUGAAGAAUUAAUAGCGCUACUCUCUCUCUCUCUCCCCCUCCCUCUCUCUCUCUCUCUCUCUCUCUCUCUUCCUCUCUCUCUCUCUCUCUCUCUCUCUCUCUCUCCCUCUUCCUGUGUACGUCUAUCGCUUAAGUCGGCCGAAGUGAUUCAGGAUAAAUACAAGGCGUAACUAAGAAAAAAAACCUUCACGCAGAGUUGUAACAAUAGCAGAGUUCACAAUGGACAAUGAAUAGGGGAGUAGCACCACUGUUUGGGUUUCUGUACACGUUCACAACAGCCGGUCCAGUGGAGAGGACUGAAACGGACUUCAACAGAUUCUCUCCGUGCCUGUGAGAAAAUCUGGUGUGAGAAUGGAUGCUAACAGAAAACGGGGGAGAGUUCUGUCUCAAAACUUUAUCUGUCACGAGCCACUCAAGCACGAGUAAUGACGGUGUUUGAAAUACUUUGCUCCGGAUGGGAUGAACUAACAAUAUUACUUUUGCUUCCAUACAAUGAGCUUCGAUUAAAGAGAAACUGACAUUUUUAGAACUUCGUCGCCGCUUAAACGCGCUCACAUUUAUGCUAUACCGAGGAGUAUUUCGUUUUUUUUAUUUUUUUGUAAAUAUGUUUUUCAUUUGUUGAAAUGGGCGUAUCUGUUAGGCCUGUCAUGAUGGAUUAUCCCUAAAGGCCUUUGCAUGCAACAGGUGCUGAGAGAGAAGGCCGCUGUUUUAUGCGAAAGAGGGAGCUGUGGAGUACAGGCAGACUGAAGCCAUCUGAAGACUCCUCUCCAUGUGAGGCCUGGCAGUGGGUGCAGUUGUGCCCCCAACCCCCUGAAGACCCUCUCCAUGUGAGGCCUGGCAGUGGGUGGAGUGUCCCCCAACCCCUGAAGACCCCUCUCCAUGUGAGGCCUGGCAGUGGGUGCAGUGUGCCCCCCAACCCCCUGAAGACUCCUCUCCAUGUGAGGCCUGGCAGUGGGUGCAGUGUGCCCCCCAACCCCCUGAAGACCCCUCUCCAUGUGAGGCCUGGCAGUGGGUGGAGUGUCCCCCCAACCCCCUGAAGACCCCUCUCCAUGUGAGGCCUGGCAGUGGGUGGAGUGUCCCCCCAACCCCCUGAAGACCCCUCUCCACGUGAGGCCUGGCAGAGGUUGCCCCCCUCAGCUACCUUUGAGAUCACCACGGUGGACAGGAGCAGGCGCAGAGAGAGAAGCAGAGGCGUGGGAGGAGGACGAAGAGGAGGAGGAGGAGGAGGAGGAGAGGAUGGGGCCCGGUUGGAAGAGUGAACUCGGAGCUGGGCGAGCGCGGAUGGCCACGGGCUCUCCAGCUCCCCCCCCCCCCUCCGCCCCCCUCCCUCCCCGACUGUGGGUCUCGGUGAGCCGGGUCCGGGGCCAAGGCAGGGAGGCGCGGAGUGGGCCGGCGAGGCGGGCCGCCAUCCCCGCCGGCUUCCCGAGCGGCGGGAGAAAUCGAUCCGGAGGAGGGAGGCGGCCAGGGGUCGCCCGGCGCGGCCCUGCGGCCCUGGAGCCCAGGGACCCGCGGCUCGCGGCUCUUCCUCCAGCCGGCCCCUGCCUGCGCGCACCGGGCCGCUUCCCGCAUGCGUGUGGUUCGGCCCGGGGGGGCGCGGGGGGGGGGCGCUUCACGGCCCCGCACCGAACCCAUGAAAGUUUGCCAGAAAAUGAAUAAAAAGGAGAGGCAAAGGUCCCUGUUUUGUUUCCCCCCCCUCCACCGAUUACGCAUCCCCCCGGACUGUUCGAAUGAGAAUUCGGUACAGGGCUCUUUGACAUCCGAGCGAGCUGCCUCCUUACUCUCCUGCCCUCCUCCAAGCGUGUAUCACAAGCACUGCGUCGGAUGAGUCAGACUGCCAGGACUUUUAAAAAAUGGUAAUAGUGAUCUUUCUGAGAGAACAAGGCCCUGAUUUGCAUUUCACCUGCAACGUGCCAUCGCUGACAUCUGGCAUUGUUGCCUGGAUACGUUCAGAAUGUUAUUGACUGUUUUCUUUGAGGCAAAAUCAUGUAUCUUUCAUAAUAGUGGAUUUCAGGUUGUGAAGCGCGUUCCAAGGCCAUUUCCAAAAAAGAAAACAGAAAACACAACAAACCAAAAGUUUUUUUUUUUUUUUGAAAAAGUAAAACCAAAAAAAGGAAACAAAUGGACUAUAACUCUGCCCAAUCGUUACAAUCUUCACCUUCUAAAGGCAUCAGGCAAACUUGACUUUUCUUCUUUAAUCCAUGUUCUCUAACUUUCGGUCAAUCGAAACGCUGUAAAAAAAACUCCCAUGCGCUGUAGUACUGCGCGCAUGCAAAAACAAUGGUGUGGAGCUGGACGUGCGUUUCAGAAAACUGACCGGAACCAGCUGACGUCAGACUGCGCCUGAGUGCACCAUCCGUUUGACUGGACCCGAGGGCCGGGGCGACGGUGGCGUUUGCUGGAGAGAACGCGCCGUCCUCGCAGUUUCUCACGCCGCGGAAAGCACUUCCUGAGGGAUUCGGGGAGGGCGAGCUCGGGCUGGCAGCGGAACGGCCUGGCCAGCGAGGAGACGCUCCAGACACAGCGAGAGGACGCACAGCUGACACGGAGCAGUUUUGGGGCUGGCCACACAUGAAACCAGGAAGGUGGGAGUCACCAGGACAGUGGCAGACUAAACCCACCACCAAAAAAAAAGAACAAGCCUUACCCCGUCCCACCCCGAACGUGCCAAGAAACAACCCUUCACUGUUCUGAAUUCCGGGCCUGUCGGUGGGUUCAAUCCAGAAAGAGCUUUGUCUCUGAACUUAUAUAUCUGAGGAGACCAGAGGAAGCUGUUGUAUGCGGAAAGACCAGAAAUAUGCAUAUUGAGAUUGAAUAUUAUUUUAAUAUCCUACUGACUACUGUACAAAACUGGGAGCAUAUUUUGGGCACAGGUAAGUGAGUGAACUUGCAGAGCAAAAAGUAGGUAAGUAUUUAAACAGUUGUGUAUAUCCAUUCAACAAUUUAAUAUUUCUGUAUCCUCGAGCAUUGUAACAAAAUAAUCCACAAGCAUGACUUGCGCACACUUUUCAGGAGAGUGGCAGCGAAUAUGUAGAGAAGAUUUAAAUGAUCCCCAGACUGAACAGACCGAUAAUAUCAAACCAGGAUUAACAGACAGCAGCUGCUGAUUUCCUACAUUAGCAGCAAGAGAAGACUCCUUUAUUUUGACACUGGCAUAUUCAUGGACAGCCCUUUGCCAUUCCCAAGGGGUCCUGCAUAUCUGUAAGUGAUGCUUAGCAGCACAGAAAGUCACUCUGCUGUGUCUCUCAUCAGGACACUUGGGAGAUUAAUGAAAGCUCAAAGUGAAUUUAUUUAUUUGCUUAUGUUUUUGUAAUCAUUCAUAUGUAGUCAAAUCGCUGAGUAUAGUAUUAUAAGAUUAUCAGUGGCUACUGGGGCUGUGCAAAGGGGGUAUUAUACUUAUAAAGCCAAUAGUCCUCGAAUGAGAAAAUGCAUUGACACGUGUCUUCAUCUUGUGUGAGUUUUAAAUAAAAUAUUUAAGAUUAA